UUGAACGCUGGCGGCAUGCCUUACACAUGCAAGUCGAACGCGAAAGGGGGCAACCCUGAGUAGAGUGGCGAACGGGUGAGUAAUGCAUCGGAACGUGUCCUGUAGCGGGGGACAACCCCGAGAAAUCGGGGCUAAUACCGCAUACGUCCUACGGGAGAAAGUGGGGACCGCAAGGCCUCACACUAUAGGGGCGGCCGAUGCCGGAUUAGCUAGUUGGUGGGGUAAAAGCUCACCAAGGCGACGAUCCGUAGCUGGUCUGAGAGGAUGAUCAGCCACACUGGGACUGAGACACGGCCCAGACUCCUACGGGAGGCAGCAGUGGGGAAUUUUGGACAAUGGGCGCAAGCCUGAUCCAGCCAUGCCGCGUGAGUGAAGAAGGCCUUCGGGUUGUAAAGCCCUUUCGACGGGGAGGAAGGCACCGGCGCGAAUAGCGUUGGUGAUUGACGUAACCUGGAGAAGAAGCACCAGCUAACUCCGU
Molecule: ribosomal RNA, 478 nt
Filed under: uncultured bacterium
Lineage: Bacteria
Description: bacterial SSU rRNA
Rfam family: Bacterial small subunit ribosomal RNA
Source: RNAcentral